RNAcentral lists this ribosomal RNA (139 nucleotides) under uncultured bacterium. RNAcentral describes it as "partial 16S ribosomal RNA". It matches the Rfam family "Bacterial small subunit ribosomal RNA", at positions 355 to 509 of the family's 1533-position model. The record is from RNAcentral.
UGGGGAAUAUUGCACAAUGGGGGGAAACCCGUGAUGCAGCGACGCCGCGUGAGCGAUGAAGUAUUUCGGUAUGUAAAGCUCUAUCAGCAGGGAAGAAAAUGACGGUACCUGACUAAGAAGCCCCGGCUAACUACGUGCC